This 20084-nucleotide long non-coding RNA is filed under the name Homo sapiens (human). RNAcentral describes it as "HSALNT0136263". Lineage: Eukaryota; Metazoa; Chordata; Mammalia; Primates; Hominidae. The record is from RNAcentral.
UUUCAAAGAUAGCUUCUUUCUAGUUUUUAUUGCGGGAUAUUUGGUUUUUCUCUAUAGGCCUGAAGUGGGCUGCAAAAUGGCAUUUCACAGACUCUACAAAAAGAGUGUUUCCAACCUGCGGAAUCAAAAGACAGGUUUAACUAUGUGAACUGAAUGCACACAUCACAAAGCAGUUUCACAGGUAGUUUCUUUGUAGUUUGCAUCAGGGGAUAUUCAGUUUUACACUGUAGUCAUCUUUGGCCCCUGAAAUGCCCCUUUGCAGAUUCUACAAAAAGAGUUUUUCCAACCUGUUGAAUCAAAAGAAAGGUUUAUCUCUUUGACCUGAAUCCACAUAUCACAAAGCAGUUUCACAGAUAUAGCUUCUUUAAGGUUUUUAUCAUGGGAUAUUCACUUUUUCACUAUAGGCCUCAGAAAGCUCUGAAAUGUCCCUUUGCAUAUACCACAAAAAGUGUGUUUACUAAACCAGAAAAUCAAAAGGAAAGUUUAACUUUGUGAGCUGAAUCCAUACAUCACAAAGCAGUUUCAGAUGGGUUCUUUCUGCUUUUCAUCAUAGCCCUCAGUGGGCUUCGAAAUGUCUAUUCACAGACUCUAAAAAAAAGUGUUUUCAGCCUGCUAAUCAAAAGAAAUGUACAAGUUUGUGAGCUGAGUCCACACAUCACAGGUAGAUUCUUCCUAGUUGUUUUCAUUGGAUAUUUGGUUUUUCACUAUAGGCCUCAGUGGCCUUCAAAGUGUCCCUUCGCAGAUUUGAAAAUAAGACUGUUUCCAACCUGCUGAAUGAAAAGAAAGGUUUAACUCUGUGUGCUGAAUCCACACAUCACUAAUCAAUUUCACAGAUAGCUUCUUUUUAGUUUUUAUCACGGGAUAUUCUAUUUUUCAACAUAGUACUCAGUGGACUUUGAAAUGCCUCUUUGCAGCUUCUACAAAAAGAGUGUUUCCAACCUGCUAAAUAAAAAAAAAAAAAAGAUUUACCUCUGUGAGCUGAAUCCAUACAGGACAAAGCAGUUUAACAGAUAGGCUCUAUCUAGUUUUUAUCAUAAGAUAUUCAAGUUUUCGAUAUAGGACAUAGUAGGCUGCAAAAUGUCCCUUUACAGAUUCUACAAAAAGAGUGUUUACAACCUGCUGAAUCAAAAGGCAGGUUUAACUCUGAGAGUUGAACCCAGACCUCUCAAAGCAGUGUUACAGAUAGCUUCUUUCUGGUUUUUAUAAUAGGAUUUUUUGUUUUUAUCUAUAGGCCUUGGCGGGCUAAGAAAUGUUCCUUCACAGAUCCUACAAAAGUAGUAUUUCCAACAUGCUGAAUGAAAAGAAAGGUUUAACUCUGUGAACUGAAUGCAAACAUCACAAAGUUUCACAGAUAGCUUCUUUCUAAUUUUAAUUAUGAGCUUUUCAGUUUUUCACUGUAGGACUGUUUGCUCUGAAAUGUCAAUAUGCUAAUUCUAAAGAAAGAGUGUUUACAACCUGCUGAAUGAAAAGAAUGGGUUAAUUCUGUUAGCUGAGCCCACACAUCACAAAGCAGCUUCACACAUAGCUUCCUUCUAGUUUUAAUCGCAGGGUAUUCAGUUUUCACUAUAGGCCUCAGUGGGCUCUGAAAUGUCCCUUCCCAGAUUAUUCAAAAAGAAUGUUUACAACCUGCUUAACCAAAAUAAAGGUUAACUCUGUGAGUUGAAUCCACAUAUCACAAAGCAGUUUCACAGUAGUUUCUUCAAAGUUUUUAUCAUGGGAUAUCCAUUUAUUUACUAUAGGCCUCAGGGAGCUCUGAAAUGUCCCUUCACAUAUUCUACAAAAAGUGUGUUUCCAAUCUGGAGAAUCAAAAGAAAGGUUUAACUUUGUGAGCUGAAUCCACACAUCACAAAGCAGUUUCACAGAUAGCUUCUUUCUACUGUUUAUCUUGAAAUAUUCAGAUUUUCAACAUAGCCCUCAGUGGGCUUCAAAAUGUCUUUUUGCAGAUUCUAAGAAAAUAAUGUUCCACUCUGCUAAAUAAAAAAAAAAAAUACAAAUUUGUCAGCUGAAUCCACACAUCACAAAGUAGUUUCACAGAUAGCUUCUUUCAAGUUUUUUUUUUCCACAGGAUAUUCAGGUUUUCACUACAGGCCUCAGUGCCCUGUGAAGUGUCCCUUUGCAAAUUCGAAAACAAGAGUGUUUACAACCUGCUGAAUGAGAAGAAAUAUUUAAGUCUGUGAGCUGAUUGCACACAUCAAAAAGAAGUUUCACAGAUAGCUACUUUCUAGUUUUUAUUGUGGGAUAUUCCAUUUUCCAUAUAGCCCUCAGUGGACUUUGAAAUAUCUUGUUGCAGCUUUUACAAAAAGAGUGUUUACAACCUGCUAAAUACAAAGAAAGUUGUACCUCUGUGAGCUAAAUCCACACAUUACAAAGCAGUUUAACAGACAGUUUUGGUCUGGUUUUUGUCACGGGAUUUUCAGUUUUUCACUAUAGGACUCAGAGGGAUUUGAAUUGUCCCUUUGCAGAUUCUGCAGAAAGAGUGUUUACAACCUGCUGAAUUGAAAGAUAGGUUUACCUCUGUGAGUUGAACCUGCACCUGACAAAGCAGUUCCAUAGAUAGCUUCUUUCUAGUUUUUAUCACAAGAUUUUCAGUUUUUAACUGUAGACCUCUUUGUGCUAAGAAAUAUCCAUUCACAGAUUGCACAAAGAGACUGUUUCCAUCCUGCUGAAUCAAAAGAAAAGUUUAACACUGUGAACUGAAUGCACACAUCACAAGUUUUCACAGAUAGGUUCUUUCCAGUUUUUAUCAUGGGAUUUUUUGUUUUUUCACUAUAGGACUCAGUUUGCUCCAAAAUGUAAAUUUGCAGAUUUUACAAAAGGUGUGUUUACAACCUGCUAAAUCAAAAGAAAGGUUUAACUCUGUUAGGUAAACCCACAAACCACAAAGUAGUUUUAGAGACAGCUUCCUUCUAGUUUUUACUGCGGGGUAUUUUGUUUUCACUGUAGGCCUCUGUGGGCUCCAAAAUAUUCCUUCCCAGAUUCUACAAAAAGAGUUUUUACAAGUUGCUGAGUCAAAAGAAAGGUUUAACUCUGUAAGUUGAAUCUACACCUCACAAAGCAGUUUCACAGAUAGCUUCUUUCUAGUUUUAUCAUGGGAUAUUCGUUUUUUCACUAUACUCCUUAGUGGGCUCUGAAAUGUCCCUUCCAAGAUACUAAGAGGGUUUCCAACCUACUGAAUCAAAAGAAAGGUUUAGCUCUGUGACCUGAAUCCACUGAUCACUAAGCAGUUUCACAUAUAGCUUCUUUCUAGUUUUUAUCAUGGGGUAUUUUGUCUUUUACUAUAGGCCGCAGAUGGCUCCAAAUGUCCCUUGGAAGAUUCUACAAAAAACAGUGUUUACAAUCUACUGAAUCAAAAAAAAAAAAAAGUUUAGCUUUGUGUGCACGAUCUACACAUCAUAAAGCAGUUUUACAGAUAAAUUCUUUCUACUUUUUAUUGUGACAUAUUCCGUUUUUCACUAAAGGCCUCAGUCGGCUCUGAAAUGCAUACUCACAGAUUCCACUAAAAGAGUGAUUCAACCUGCUGAAUCAAAAACAAUGUAACUCUGUGAACUGAAUCCAAAUAUCACAAAACUGUUUAACAGAUAGUUUCUUUCCAGUUAUUAUCACGGGAUGUUCUGUUUUUCACUAAAGGUGUCAGUGUUCUCCAAAAUGUCUAUUCGCAGAUUCUACAAAUAAAGUGUUUCAAGCUGCUGAAUCAAAAGAAAGUUUUAACUCUGUGAAAUGAAUUCACACAUCACAAAGCAGUUUCACAGAUAGCUUCCUUCUAGUUUAUAUCACGGGAUAUUCUGUUUUUCACUAUAGGCUUCAAACGUCUCCAAAAUGUCCCCUCGCAGAUUCUACCGGUAGAGUGUUUCUAAUCUACUGAAUCCAAAGACAGGUUUAACUCUGUUCGCUGAAUGCACACAUCAGGAAGCAGUUUCACAGAGAGCUUCCUUCUAGUUUUUAUGAUGGCAUAUUCAGUUUUUACUACAGGUCUCAGUGGGCUCCAAAGCAGUUUCUGUAAAAAAAGCUCUUCCAACCUUCUGAACAAAAGAAAGAUUUAACUCUUUGAACUGUACAAUCACAUCACAGGGGAGUUUUGCAAAUAGCUUCUUUCUAGUUUAUAUCACAAGAUAUUCUGUUUUCACUAUAGGUUUCAGUAGGCUCAGAAAUGUCCAUUCACAGAUUCUACAAAAAGAGUGUUUCUAAUGUGCUGAAUCUAAAGAAAAGUUUUUCUGUGAGCAGAACUUACACAUCACAAGGCAGUUUCAAGAUAGCUUCUUUCUAUUAAUUAUAGCAGAAUAUUCAGUUUUUCACUAUUAGGCCAAAUUGAGUUCUGAAAUGUACCUUUGCAGAUACUGUCAGAAGAGGGUUUCCAACCUGCUGAAUCAAAAGAAAGAUUUAACUCUACGAGCUGAAUCCACACAUAACAAAGCAGUUUCACAGAUAGCUUCAUUCUAGUUUUUAUUGCAGGGUAUUCAGGUUUUCUGUAUAGGCUCCAGUGCACUCUGAAAUCUUCCUUUGCUGAUUUUACAAAAAGAGUGUUUUCAACCUGGUACAUCAAAAGAAAGUUUUAACACUGUCAAGUGAAUGUACACAUCCCAAAACAGUUUCAAAAUUAGCUUCUUUCUGUUUUUUUGUUUUUAAAUGGAUAUGUGGUUUCUCCUUAUAGGCCUCAGUCAGAUGCAAAAUGUCCUUUUGCAGAUUCUACAAAGAGAGUGUUUCCAAACUCCUUAAUCAGGAGAAAGGUUUAACUCACUGAGUUGAAAGCACACAUCACAAAGCGGUUUCACAGAAAGUUUCUUUAUAAUUUUUAUAGUGGGAUAAUAUGUUUUCCACUAUAGGCCUCAGUUUACUCUGAAAUGUCCAUUGGCAGAGUCUACAAAAACUUUGUUUUCAACUUGCUGAAUCAAAAAGAAGUUCUAACUUUGUUAGCUUAAUACACACAUACCAAAUCAGCUUCACAGAUAGUUUCUUUCUAGUUUUAUGAUGGUAUAUUCAGUUUUUCACUAUAGUACUCAGCUUGCUCUGAAAUGCCCUUUACCAGAUUCUACAAAAAAAAGAAAGAGGGUUCCCUACCUGUUGUAUCAAAUGAUAGGUUUAACUCUGUGAGCUGAAUCCACACAUCUCAAAGCACUUUCACAAAUAGCUUCUUUCUUGUUUCUAUCACAGGAUAUACAGUUUUUCACUAUUGGUCUCAGGGGUGUCUGAAAUGUCUUUUCACAGAUUUUACAAGAAGAAUGUUUUCCACCUGCUGAAAUGAAAGAAAUUUUGAACUCUGUGAGCUAAAUGCACACAUCACAAAGCAGUUUCCAAGAUAAAUUUUUUUUUCUAGUUUUUAUCACGGGAUAAUCAGUUUUUCACUAUAGGACUCAGUAGGCUGUGAAAUAUAGUUUUGCAAAUUCUACCAAAAGAGUGUUCUAACCUGCUGAAUGAAAAGAAUAGUUUAACUCUCCGAGCUGAAUCCACACAUCACAAAGCAGUUUCACAGGUAACUUCUUUCUAGCUUUUAUCACAGAAUAUUUGGUUUUUCACGAUAGGUGUGAGUGGGCUCUGAAAUGUCCCAUCACAGACUCUACAAAUAGAGUGUUUCCAAUGCACUGAAUCCAAAAAAAGGUUUCAAUCUGUGAGGUAAAUCUUCACAUCACAAAACGGUUUCACAGAUAGCUUCUUUCUCGAUUUUAUCAUAGAAUAUUGUUUUUCAUUACUCAUCUCAGGGGGUCUGAAAUGUCCACUCACACAUUACAUAAAAAGAGUUUUUCCCAUCUGCUGAAUCAAAAGAAAAAUUUAACUUUGUGAGAGGAAUGCACACAUCACAAAGCAGUUUCACAGAUAGCUUCUUUCUAGUUAUCAUGGGAUAUUCAUUUUUUCACUAUUGGACUCAGUGGGCUCUGAAAUGUCCCCAUGUAGAUGCUACAAGAAGAGUAUUUUUAACCUACUAAAUCAGAAGAAAGGUUUAAUGUGUGAGCUGAAUACACACAUCACAAAUCAGCUUAACUGAAGCUUCUUACUAUUUUUUGUUCAAGGAUAUUCAGUUUUUCUUCAUAGGCCUCAGUGGGUUCCAAAAUAUUCCAUUGCAGACUCUACAAAAAGAGUAGUUCCAGCCUUCUGAAUCGAGGGAAAGUUUUAAUUCUGUGAGCUCAAUCCAAAUGUUACAAAGCAGUUUCACAGAUGAUAGCUUAUUUCUAGUUUUUAUUGUCAGAUAGUCAAUUUUUUAUAAUAGGUCUCAGUGGGCUCUGAAAUGUCCCUUUGUAGCUUCUACAAAAAGAGUGUUUCCUACCUGCUGAAACAAUGGAAAUAUUUCCAAUCUGCUGAAUUUAAAGAGAGGUUUAACUCUGUGAGCUGAAUAUACACACCACAAUGCUGUUUGAAAGAUAGUUUUUCUUCAUGGGAUAUUCAAUUUUUCAAUAUUAACCUCUGUUUUUUUCUGAAAUGUCCCUUCACAGUAUCUCCUUAAAGAGUAUUUCCAACUUGCUGAAUGAAAAGAAAGGUUUAACUCUGUUAGCUCUAUCCACACAUCACAAAGCAGUUUCACAGACACCUUCUUUCUAGUUUUUAUUGAGAUAUUUUAUCUUUCAUUUUAGGGCUCAGUGGGCUUUGAAAUGUCCCUUCACACUUUCUACAAAAAGAGUGUUUCCAACCUGUUGAAUCAAAAGAAAAGUUAUACUCUGAGCUAAAUGCACACACCACAAAGAAAUCUCAUCAAUCGCUUCUUUCUAGUUUUUUUCAUGGGAUGUUCAGUUUUCAAUAUAGGACUCAGUAGGCUGCAAAAUGUCCCUUCACAGAUCCUACAAAAUCAGUGGUUCCAAUUUACUAAAUAAAAUAAAAGUUUAACUCUGUUAGUUGUUUUUAUGCAUCAAAAAGUAAUAAAACAGAUAGCUUAAUUCUAGUUUUUAUCAUGGGUUAUACCAUUUUUUAUUAUAGGUCUCAGUGAGCUCCAAAAUGUAACUUCACUGAUUCUACAAAAAGAGUGUUUCCAACCUAUUGAAUCAAAACAAAUUUUAACUCUGUGAGCUGAAUCCACACAUCUCUAAGCAGUUUCACAGAUAGCGUCUUUCUCGUUUUAAUCAAGGGAUAUUCAAUUUUCACUGUAGGCCUCAUUGGGUUCUGAAAUGACCCUUCACAGAUUCUAAAAAAGAGUGUUUCCAAACUGAUGAAUCAAAAGAAACGUUUAACUCUGAAUUUAAGAAAAUUGUGAACUCUGUGAGCUGAGUGCACACAUCACAAAACGGUUUCACAAAUAAAUUCUGUCUAGUUUUUAUCAUGGGAUAUUUGGUUAUUCAGUAUAGGCUUCAAAGGACUCGGAAAUGUCCCUUCACAUUUUCUGCAAAAAAAGGUUUCCAACCUACUUCUUCGAAGGAAACAUUUAACUCUGUGAGCUGAAUCCUCACAUCACAAAGCAGUUUAACAGAUAGUUUCUUUCUAGUUUUUAUUAUAAGAUAUUCGUUUUUUCACUAUAACCUCAAUGAGCUCUGAAAUAUCCUUUUGGAGAUUAUAUAAAAAGAGUGCUGCCAACAUCCUGAGUCAAAAGAAAGUUUUAACACAGUGAACUGAAUCCACACAUCACAAACAAAUUUCACAAUAGCUUGCUUUAGUUUUCUCCAAUAUAUUCAGUUUUUCACUAUAGGUGUAAGUGGGCUCUGAAAUAAAUCUACAAAAUGAUUGCUUCAACUAGCUGAAUAAUAAAAAAAAAGUUUUAAUUCUGUGAGCUGAAACCACACAUCACAAAGCAGUUUCACAGAUAGAUUCUUUCCAGUUUUCAUUGAGGAAUACUCUGCUUUUCAUGUAAGAACUCAGUGAGGUCCCAAAUGUUCCUUCACAGUUUCUACAAAAAGAGUGCCUUUUUAUCACUAUAGGCAACAUUGGGCACUGAAAUGUGCCAUUGCAGAUUGAACAAAAAGAGUGUUUCCAACCUGCUGAAUCAAAAGAAAGGUUUAAAUCUGUGAGAUAAAUCCACACAUCACUAAGUGGUUUCAGAGAUAGCAUCUUUCUAGUUUUUUAACUAGGGCUAUUAAUUUUUUCACUAUAGGCCUCAAUGGGCUCCAAAAGUCCCUUCGCAGAUUCUACAAAACGAGUGUUUCCAAACUGCUGAAUCAAAAGAAAGGUUUAACUUUGUGAGAUGAAUCCACACGUUACAAAGUAGUAUUACAUGUAGCUUCUUUCUAAUUUUUAUUUUGGGAUAUUCAGUUUUUCACUACAGUCCUCAAUCGGCUUCAAAAUGUCUCUUCACAUAUUCUACAAAAAGAGUGUUUUUAAACAGCAGAAUCAAAACAAAGGUUUAACCCUGUGAGCUUAAUCCAUCCAUCACAAAGUAGUUUCACAGAGAGCUUAUUUUGACUUUUAAUCUUGGGAUAUGCUGUUUUUCACUAUCAGCUUCAGUCGGCUAUGAAAUGUCUUUUCGCAGAUUCAACAAAAAAAGUGUUUUCACCCUGCUGGAAAAAAAGAAAGCUUUAAAUCUGUGAGCUGAGUGUACAAUUCAUAAAGCAGUUUCACAGAUAUCAUCUUUCUUGUUUUUAUUGUGAGAUAUUCAGUUUUUCACUAUAGGCCACAGAUUUUAUCAAAAGAGUGUCUCCAACCAGCUAAAUCAAAAUAAACGUUUAACUCUGUGAGCUGAAUUCACACACCACAAAGCAAUUUCACAAACAGAUUCUUUUUAGUUUUUAUUGUGGGAUAUUUGUUUUUUCACUAUAGGCCUCAGUGUGCUUUGAAAUGUUCCUGUGCAGAUUGUACAAAAAGAGCAUUUCAAACCUUCUGAAUCAAUGGUAUGGUUUAAGUCUGUGAGCUGAAUCCAGGCAUCACAAAGUAGUUUCACACAUGGUUUCAUCAAAAGUUUUGUCAUAGGCUAUACAGUUUUUCACUAUAAGCCUCAGUGGGCUCCAAAAUAUCCAUUUGCAGAUUCUACAAAAAAAGCGUUUCCAACCUGCUGAAUCAAAAGCAAGGAUUAACUGUGAGCUGAAUUCACACAACAAAAAAUAAUUUCACAGAUAACUUCUUUCUAGUUUGUAUUGCAAGAUAUUCACUGUUUCACAAUAGGCAUUAGUGGCCUCUGAAAUGUCCCUUCACAGACCUACAAAAAGAGUGUUUCCAAAAUAAUGAAUCAAAAGAAAGGUUUAAGUCUGUGAGGUGAAUACAGACAUCAAAAAGAAAUUUCACCUAUAGAUUCAUUCUAGUUUUUAUCUCACAAUGUUAGUUUUUUUAGUAAAUGUGUCAGUGGGCUCAGAAAUGUCCCCUCAUAGAUUCUACAGAAAGAGUGUUUCCAACCUGCUGAAUCAAAAAACGGUUUAUAUCUGUGAUCUGAAUGUACACAUCACAAAGGAGUUUCACAGAUAGCUUCUUUCUAGCUUUUGUUGAUGGAAAUUCUUUUCUUCAAUAUAGGCAUCAGUGGGCUCCAAAAUAUUUCUUCACAGAUUUUUCAAAAAGAGUGCUUCCAAUUUGCUGAAACAAAAGAAAUGUUUAACUCUGUGAGCUGAAUCCACACAUUACAAAGCAGUUUCACAGAUAGCUUUUUUCUAGUUCUUAUCAUGGAUAUUCAGUUUUUCAAUAAAGGUGUCAUUGGGCUUUGAAAUAUUUCUUCACAAACUUACAAAAAGGGUGUUUCCAACUUGCUGAAACAAAAGAAACGUUGAACUCUGAACUGAAUCCACACAUCAAAAAGCAGUUUCACAGAUAACUUCUUUCUAAUUUUUAUCUCGGGAUAUUCGUUUUUUUACUACAGGCCUCAGUAGCCUCCCAAAUGUCUAUUCACAGAUUUGACAAAAAACUGUUUCCAAUCUGCUGAUUCAAAAAACAGAUUUAACUCCGUGAACUGAAUGCACACAUCACAAAGCAGUUUCACAGAGAACUUCUUUCCAGUUUUUAUCUCAAGAUACACGAUUUUUCACUAUAUGGUUAACUGGGCACCAAAAUGUCCCAUAGUAGAUUCUACAAUAAGCCUUCUUCCAACUUCUUAAUUAAAAGAAAUCUUCAACACAGUGAGCUAAAUCUACACACCACAAAGUAGAUUCACAGAUAGUUUUUUCUAGUUUUUUAUCAUGGGAUAUUUCAGGUUUUCACUAUAGGACUAAGUCAUCUCCAAAAUAUCCAUUUGCAGAUUCUAAAAAAAGAGUAUUUCAAACCUGCUGAAUCAAAAGAAGGUUUUAACUCUGUGACUUUACUCCACACAUUACAAAGCAGUUUCACAGACAGCUUAUUUCAAGUUUUUAUCCUGUUGGCUCUAAAAUGUCCUUUCAGAGAUUCUACAAAAAGAGUGUUUCAAACCUGCUUAAUCAAAAGAAAGAUUAAACUCUGUGAACUGAAUGUACACAUCACAAAGCAGUUUCACAGAUAGGUUCUUUCAACUUUUUAUUGUGGGAUGAUCAGUUCUGCAUCAUAGGCCUCACUUUGCUCUGAAAUGAUCCUUUGUAGAUUCUACAAAUGAGUGUAUUAAACCUGGUGAAUCAAAAGUAAAGUUUAACACUGUGAGCAGAAUACACACAUCAGAAAGCAGUUUCACAAUCAGCUUCUUUCUAGUUUUUAUCACGGGAUAUUCUUUUUUUCACUUUUGGACUCAGUGGGCUAUGAAGUGGUUCUUUGGAGAUUCUACAAAAAGAGAGUCUACAGCCUCCUUAAUCAAAAGAUAGGUUUUACUCUGAGUGGAAGGCACACAUCACAAUGCAGUUUCACAGAUCAUUUCUUUCUAGUUUUUAUUGCGUGAUUUUUGGUUUUUCACUUUUGAACUCAAUUGGCUUUGAAAUGCCUCUUCACAGAUACUGCAAAAAAAAGUUUUCAACAUGCUGAAUCAAAAGAAAAGGUUAACUCAGUGAGCAGAAUCCAGACAUCACAAAGCAAUUUCACAUAUGGCUUCUUUCUAGUUUUUAUUGCAAGAUAUUCAGUUUUUGACAUUUGAACCCAGUGGGCCCUGAAAUGUCCCUUUGCUGAUACUGCAAAGAGUGUUUCCAAUCUGCUGAAUCAAGAAAAAGCUUUAACUCUCUGAAAUGAAUACACACAUCACAAAGAAGUUUCACAGAUAGCUUCUUUCUAGUUUUUAUUGUGGGAUAUUCUGUUUUUCACUAAGGGCCUCAUUUAGGUACAAAAUGUCCCAUCUCAGAUGCUACAAAUACAGUGUUUCCAACCUGCUGAAUCAAAAGACAGGCUUUAUUCUGUGAUCUGAAUCCACACAACAAAAGCAGUCUGACUGAUAGCUUCUUUUUAGUUUUAGUCACAGAACAUUCAAUUUUUCACUGUAAGCCUCAGUGGGCUCCAAAAUGUUCCCUCACAGAUUCUACAAAAAGAGUUUUUCCAACCAGCUGAAUCAAAAGAAAGGUUUAACCCUGUGAGCUGAAUGCACAUAUCACAAAGCAGUUUCUCAGAGAGAUUUUUUCUAGUUUUUAUGGUGGGAUAUUCAGUUUCAAACUUUAGGCUUCAGUGGCCUUCGGAAUGUCCCUUUGCAGAUUCUACAAAAAGAUUCAUUCCUACCUGGAAAAUCAGAAGAAAGUAUUAACUCUGUGUGCUGAAUCCUCACAUCACAAGCAGUUUAACAGAUUUUUCUUUCUAGUAUUUAUCACAGGAUAUUCAAUUUCUCACUAUUGGCCUCAGUGGGCUCCAAAAUGUCCCUUUGCAGAUUCUACAAAAAUAGUGUUUCCUACCUGCUGAAUCAAAAGAAAGGAUUAACUCUGUGAUCUGAAUGCACACAUGACAAAGCAGUUUCACAGAGAGAUUCAUUCUAGUUUUUAUCAUGGGAUAUUCAGUUUUUCUCAAUAGGCCUCAGUGGGCUCUGAAAUGUCCGUUCACAGAUUCUAAAAAAAAAAAGGGUUUCUAACCUGCUGAAUAAAAAGAAAUGUUUAACUCUGUGAGUGAAAUGCACGUAUCACAAAACAGUUUCCCAGAUAAUUUUUUUCUAGUUUUUAUCAUGGGAUAUUCAGUUUUACACUGUAGGCUUCAGUGGCCUCCAAAAUGUCCCUUUGCAGAUUCUAAAAAAAAAGUGCCUCCAACCUGCUAAAUCAAAGGAAUGAUUUAACUCUUUGAACUUAAUCCAUGCUUCAUAAUGCAGUUACACAGACAGCUUCUUUCUAGUAUUUAUCAUGGAAUAUUCAGUUUUUCACUACAGGCUGCAGUGGGCUCAAAAAUGUCCCUUCACAUAAGCUACAAUAAGAGUGUUUCCAACCUACUGAAUCAAAAGAAGCUUAACUCUUUGAGUUGAAUCCACAUAUGACAAAGCAGUUUCUCAGAUAGCUUCUUUCUAGUUUUAUGCAGGGAAUAUUUUGUUUUUCACUAUAGGCCUCAGUGGGCACCAAAUGUCUCUUCGCAAAUGCUUCAAAAAAAAGUUUUCCAAACCUUCUGAGUGAAAAGAGAGGUUUAAAUUUGGUACCUGAAUCCUCUCAUCAAAAAGCAGUUUCAUGGAUACUUUCUUUCUAGUUUUUAUCAUGGAGUAUUCAGUUUUUCAUAAUAGGUCUUAGUGGGCUCUGAAAUAUUCCUUCUCAGAUUCUACAAAGAGAAUGUUUUCAACCUGUGGAAUCAAAACAAAAGUUUAACUCUGAGAGCUGAAUCCACACUAAACAAAGCAGAUUCACACAGAGAUUCUUUCUAGUUUUGAUUGGGAGAUAUUCAGUUUUUUACUUUAGCCCUCAGUUUGCUCUGAAAUAUCCCUUCACUUAUUGUACAAAAAGAGUGCUUCCAACCUGCCGUGUCAAAGUAAAGCUUAAUUCUGUGAGCUGAAUCCACAGAGCACAAAGCAAUUUCACAGAUAGCUUCUUUCUAGUUUAUAUUGGGGGAUAUUCUGUUUUUCACUCUUGGCCUUAUGGGGAUCAGAAAUGUUGCUUUGCAGAUUCUACAAAAGAGUGUAUGCAACCUGCUGAAUUAUAAGAAAGGUUUAACUCUGUAAACUGAAUACACACAUCAAAAAUCCGUUACACAGAUAGCUUCUCUCUAGUUUUUGUGACAGUUUAUUCUGUUUCUCACUGCAGGCUUCACUGAACUGCAAAAUGUCCCUUUGUAGAUUCUAAAAAAUAGACUGUUUCCAACCUGCUGAAUAAAAAGAAAGUUUUAAGCCUGGGAGCUGAAUCCACCUACCACAAAGCAGUUUUUCAGGCAGCUUCUUUCUAGUGGUUAUUGCAGGAUAUUCAGUUUUAAACUAUAGUCCUCAGUGGGCUCUGAAAUGCCUUUACCUAGAUUCUCCAAAAAGAAUGUUUCCAACCUGCUGAAUCACAGAAAGAAUUUAACUCUGUGAGUGAAAUGCACAUGUCACAAAGCAGUUUCACAGAUAGCUUCUUUCUAGUUUUUAGUGUGGGAUUUUCAGUUUUUCACUAUAGGCCUCAGUGCGCUCCAAAAUGUUAAUUCACAGAUUCUACAAAAAGAGCGUUUCCAACCUGCUGAAUAAAAAGAAAUGUUUAUCAUUUUGAACUGAAUUUACAGAUCACAAAGCAGUUUCACAGAUAGCUUCUUUCUAGAUUUUAUCAUGGGAUAUUCUGUUUCCCAUGAUAGGUCACAUUGGGCUCCAAAAUGUAGCUUUGCAGAUUCUACAAAAUGAGUUUUUCCAACCUGGUGAAUAAAAGGAAAAUUUCAAUUCUGUAAGCUGAAUGUCUACAUAACAAAGCAUUUCACAGAUACAUUCUUUCUAGUGUUUAUCACAGAAUAUUGUGUUUGUCAUUAUAGACUUCUGCUUGCUCUGAAAUAUCCCUUUGCAGAUUCUAUAAAAAGAAUUAUUCCAGCCUUCUAAAUCAACAGAAAAGUUUAUCUCUGUGAGCUGAAUCCAUACAUCACAAAUUAGAUGAACAGAUGACUUCUUUCUAUUUAUUAUUGUGGAAUAUUCAAUUUUUCAUUACAGGCCUCAGUGGGAUCAGAAAUGUCCCUUUGAAGAUUGUACAAAAAGAAUCUUUCCACUGGUGAAUCCAAAGAAAGUUUUAACUCUUUGAGCCGAAUGCAUACGUCACAAAAAAGUUUCACAGAUACCUUCUUUCUAGUUUUUAAUCAUGGAAUAUUUGGUUGUUCACUUUAGGACUAGUGUUUCUGAAAUGUCCCUUUGCAGGUUCUACAAAUGUGUGUUUCCAAUGAUCUGAAUCCAAAGUAAGACUUAACUCUGUGAGCUGAAGGCUCACAUCACAAGCCACUUCACAGAUAGCUUCUUUCUAGUUUUUAUCACAAGAUAUUCUUUUAUUCACCAUAGGCCUUAGUGGACUCAGUAAUGUCCCUUCACAGAUUCUCCAAAAAGAGUGUUUCCAACCUGCUGAAUCACAAGAAAGGUUUACCUCUGUAAGCUGAAUCCACACAUCACAAAGAAAUUUCACACAUAGCUUCUUUCUACUUUUUAUCAUCGUAUAUUCAGUUUCUCACUGUAGGCUUCAGUGGGCUGAGAAAUACUUCUUCACAGAUUCUAAAAAAAAAAGAAUAUUUCCAACCUGCUGAAACAAAAAUGGUUCACAUUUGUGAGCUGAAUGCAACAUUACAAGGGAGUUUCACAGAUCUCUUCCUUCUAGUGUUUAUUGCAGAAUAUUCUUUUUGUCACUAUUGGGUUCUAUUUGCUUUGAAAUGUCCCUUUUCAGAUUCUACAAAAACAGUGAUUCCAACCUUCUAAAUCAAUAGAAAUGUUUAACUCGGUGAGCCAAAUCCACACAUCACAAAUUAGAUGCACAGAUGGCUGCUUUCUAUUUGUUAUUGCGGAAUAUUCAUUUUUUCACUACUGGCCUCAGUAGGCUCUGAAAUGUCCCUUCAUAGAUUCUACAAAAAGCAUGUUUCCAAUCUGCUGAAUCAAAAGAAAGGUUUAACUUUGUGAGCUGAAUGCAUAUCUCACAAAGAAGUUUCUCAGAUAGUUUCUUUCUAGUUUUUAUCAUGCAAUAUUUAGUUUUUCAUUCUAGCCCUCAGUGAGCUUCAAAAUGACCCAUGGCUGAUUCUACAAGAGUGCUUUCAACCUGCUGAAUCAAAAGAAAAGUUUUACUCUGUGAGCUGAAUGCAAAUGUCAUAAAACAGUUUCACAGAUAUCUUCUUUCUAUUUUUUAUCAGGGGAUAGUCUGUUUUUUUACCAUAGGUUUCAGUGGGCUCCUAAAUGUCUCUUCACAGUUUCUACAAUAAAAGAGUUUCCAUUGUGCUGCAUAAAAAGUGAUGUUUAACUCUGUGAACUGCAUCCACACAUCACAAAGCAGUUUCACAGAAAGCUUCUUUUUAGUUUUUAAUAGCGGGAUAUUUGGAUUUUCUGUAAAAUCCUCAGUGUUCACCAAAAUGUCCCUUCACAGUUCUACAUAAAGAGUGUCUCCAACCUUCUAAAUGAAAAGAAAAGUUUCACUGUUGUAGCUGAAUUCACACAUCACAAAGCAUUUUCACAGAUAUCUUCAUUCAAGUAUUUAUCAUGAAAUAUUAAGUUUUUCACUGUAGGCCUCAGUAGUCUCCAAAACGUUUCCUUGAAUAUCCUAGAAAUAGAGUGUUACCAACCUGCUGAAUAAAAAGGAACAUUUAACUCUAUGAGCUGAAUCCACACAUUACAAUGCAAUUUCACAGAUAGAUUCUUUAUAGUUUUUUUUUCCCCCUCAGGUAUAACGUUUUACACCGUAGACCUCAGUGGGCUGUGAAAUGUCCCUUUCCAGACACUACAAAAAGAGUUCUUCCAACAUUCUGAAUCAAAUAUUUCAAAAGAAAUAUUAAACUCUGAGAGCUAAAUCCAUGCACCACAAAGCAAUUUCACAGAUAGCUUUGUUCUAGUUUUGUGUGUGUGUUUUGGCGGGGGGGGGGGGGGAUAUUCAAUUUUUCACUAUAGGCCUCAGUAGGCUUAGUAAUGUCCCUUCACAGGUUCUACAAAAAGAGUAUUUCCAACCUGUUGAAUAAAAGAAAGGCUUAACAGUGAACUGAAUGUACAUGUCAAAAAGGAGUUUCACAGGUAGCUUAUUUCUCAUUUUUAUUAUGGGAUAUUCCAUUAUUCUUUGUAGACCUCAGUGGGCUCCAAAAUGUCCCUUUGCAGAUUCCACAAAAGGAGUUUUUCCAACCUACUUAGUGAAAAGAAAAGUUUAACUCUGUCAGCUGAAUGCAUACAUCACACCAAAGUUUCUUGUAUAGCUUCUUUCUAGUUUUUAUCAUAGAAUAUUUGGUUUUUAACUAUAGGCUUCAGUGGGCUCUGAAAUGAAUCAUGGAUUCUAAUAAAAGAGUGUUUAAAACCUGUAGAAUCAAAGGAAUGGUUUAACUUUGUGAGCCGAAUGCACCCCUCACAAAAAAAGUUUCACAGACAGCUUCUUUCUAGUUUUUAUCACAAAAAUUUGUUUUUUCACUGUAGGCCUAGCGGGCUCUGAAAUGUCAAUUUGCAGGUCCUACAGAAAGGUGUUUCCAACCUGCUGAAUCAAAAGAAACAUUUAACUCUGUGAGCUGAUGGCACACAUCACAAGCAGUUUCACAGAUAGCUUUUUUCAAGUUUCUAUCAUGAGAAAUUCUGUUUUUCAAUAUAGGCUUUAGUGGGCUCAGAAAUGUCCCUCCGUAAAUUCUACAAAAGAGUGUUUCUAAGUUGCUGAAUCAUAAGAAAGGUUUAACUCUAUUAGCUGAAUCUACAUAUCACAAAGGGGUUUCACAGAUAGCUUCUUUCCAGUUCACAUCAGGAGAUUUUUUUUUCCCUAUAGGUCCCAGUGGGCUCCAAAAUGUCUCUUCACAGAUUCUAGUAAAAGAGUGUUUCCAAUUUUUUGAAUCAAGAGAAAGGAUUAACUCUGUGAGAUGAAUGCACACGUCAUGAAAAUGUUUCACAGAAAGUUUUUUUCUAGUUUUUAUUGCAGGAUAUUCAGUUUUUCACUAUAGCCUCUGUAGGCUUUGAAAUGACCCUUUACAGAUUUACAAAAAAACUGUUUCAAACCUGAUGAAUCAUAAGAAAAGUUUACCUCUGUGAGCUGAAUCCACAUAUCAGAAAGCACAUUCACAGAUACCUUCUUUCUACUUUUUAUCGUGGGAUAUUUGGUUUUUCACUAUAAGCUUCAGUGUGCACUGAAAUGUUUAUUCACAUAUUCUAUAAAAUGUGCUUACAACCUGCUGAAUCAAAAGAAAGGCUUAACUCUCUGAGCUGAAUCCACAUACCACAAAGUAGUUUCAUAUAUAGCUUCUUUCUAGUUUUUAUUGUGCGAUAUUCAUUUUUUUACUAUAUGCCUCGGUAGGUUCAGAAAUGUUUCUUGGCAGACUUUACAAAAACAGUUUUUUCAAGUUGCUAAAUCAAAAGAAAGUUUUAAAUCUGUAAGUUGAAUGCACACAUGGAAAGCAGUUGCACAGAUAGCCUCUAUUUUAUCGCAGUAUAUUCCAUGUUUUACUAUAGGCCUCCAUGGUCUAAGAAAUGUCCCUUCCCAGAGUCUACAGAAAGAGUGUUUCCAACCAACUAAAUAAAAGGAAAGAUAUAACUCAGUCAGCUGAAUGGACACAUCACAAAGGAGUUUCACAGAUAUUUUCUUUCUAGUUUUUAUCAUGGGAUAUUCUGUUUCUCAUUAUAGGACUCAGUGAACACCAAAAUGUCCCUUUGCAGAUUCCUCAAAAAGAGUUUUAAAACCUGCUGAAGUGAAAAAAAUUUAAUUCUGUGAGACGAAUGCACACAUCACAAAGCAGUUUCACAGAUAGCUUCUUUCUAGUUUUUAUCACGGAAUAUUAGGUUUUUCACUACAGGCCUCUGUGGGCUCAGAAAAGACCCUUCCCAGGUACUAAGAAAAGAGUGUUGAAACCUGCUGUGUCAAAGGAAAGGUUUAACUUGAUAAGCUGAAUCCAUACCUCACAAAGGAGAUUCAUAAAUAGCUUCUUUCUAGUUUUAUCACGAGAUUUUCAGUUUUUCACUACAGGCCUCAGUGGGCUCUGAAAUGUCCCUUUGCAGAUUAUACAAAAAGAGGGUUUCCCACAGGCUGAAUCAAAAGAAAGGUGUAACUCUGUGAGCGAAAUGCAUACAUCACAAAGCAGUUUCACAGAUAGCCUCUUUCUAUUUUAUUGUGAGAUAUUUGGUUUUUCACUAUAGGUGUCAGUGGGCUCUUAAAUGUUUCUUCACAGAUUCUAAAAACAGAUUGUUUCAAACCUGCUGAAUAAAAAUAAAGGUUUAACCCUGUGAGCUUAAUCCACACAUCACAAAGCAGUUUCACACAUAGUUUCUUUCUAAUUUUUGUCACAGGAUACUUGGUGUUACACUAUAGGCCUCACUGGGUUCCAAAAUAUUUCUUCCCGGAUUUUACAAGGAGAAUUUUUCCAACCUGUUGAAUCAGAAGAAAGGUUGAACUCUGUGAGCUGAAUACACACAUGACAAAUCAGUUUCACUGAUAGCUUCUUUCUAGUAUUUAUCGGGGAUAUUUGGUUUUUCACUAUAGGCUUCACGGGGUUCCAAAAUGUCCCUUUGCAGAUUCUACAGCAGAUUCCUAUCUGCUGUGUAAAAAGAAAGGUUUAAGUCAUUGAGCUGAAUUCACAAAUCACAAAGCAGUUUCUCAGAUAGCUUCUUUCUAGUUUUUAUCAUGGAAUAUCUGGUUUUUCUCUACUGGCCUCAGUGGGCUUUGAAAUCUCCCUUCAUAGAUUUUACAAAAAGUUUGUUUUUAACCUGCUGAAUUAAAGGAAAGGUUUAAUUCUGUUAUCUGAAUGCACACAUUACAAAGCAGUUUCACAUAUUAAUUCUUUCUAGUUUGAAUUGCUGGAUGUUCUUUUUCUCACUAUAGGCCUCAGUGCACCCCAAAAUGUUCCUAUGCAGAUUCUACAAAAAGAGUGUAUCCAACAUGCUGAAUCAAAAGAAAAGUUCAAUUCUAUGAGCUGAAUCCCCAUAUCACAAAGCAGCCUCACACAUAUCUUCUUUCUAGUUCUUACUGUGAAAUAUUCUCUUUCUCAAUAUAGGCCUCAGUUGGCUUCUGAAAUGUCUCUUCACAGAUUCUACAAAAAGAGUGUUACCAACCUUCUUAAUCCAAAGAAAGUUUUAACUCAGUGAGCUGAAUCUGCACAUCACAAUUAGAUUCACAGGUACCUUCUUUAUUUCAUUUUUCACUCUAUGCUUCAGAAGGCUCAGAAAUGUCCCUUCACAAAUACUACAAAGAGAAUGUUUCCAAGCUGCUGAAUCAAAAAAAGGUUUACUUCUUUGAGCUGAAUACACACAUUACAAAGCAGUUUCACAGAUAGCUUCUUCUGUGAAUAUCAUGGGAUAUUCUGUUUCUCACUGUAGACUUCAGUGGGUUCCAAAAGUUCCCUUUGCAGAUUCAACAAAAAGACUGUUUACAACAUGCUAAAUAAAAAGAAAGUUUUAACACUGUGAAGUGAAUCCAUACAUCCUAAAGCAGUUUCACAGAUAGCUUCUUUCUUGAUUUUAUCUUGGGAUAUUCAGUUUUCCACUAUAGGUCUCAGUUUACUCCAAAAUGUCCCUUCACAAGUUCUACAAAAAGGGUGCUUCCAACUUGCUGUAUCAAAACCAAGGUUUAACUCUGUGAGCUGAAUGCACAUAUAACAAAGCAGUUUCACAGAUAGCUUCUUUCUCAUUUUUUAUUGCUGGUUCUUCUGUUUUUCACUAUAGGCUUCAGUGGGCUCUGAAAUGUCCUUUCACAGAUUAUAGAAAAAUCGUGUUUCCUACCUGGAAAAACGGGGCCAUAGGGUUGAGUGGAGGGUUGCAGGGACUCAGGAGGACGCUGAGACAGGCAGAGGCGAAAAGCAGUAAGACCGCAGAAAAUGCUGGGAGCCUCGCAAAGAGGCCUCUCCCAUCCCAGAAGCCUCAAAAGUUGCCUUGGGCAGGCUGUAAAUCCCCUGGCUUUGGCCGGGAGAGGUGGCUCACACCUGUAAUCCCUUGGCUCAGCACUUUGGGAGGCUGAGGCGGGCGGAUUAAGAGGUCAGGAGAUCCAGACCAUCCUGGCUAACAUGGUGAAACCCCGCCUCCACUAAAAAUACAAAAAAUUAGCCAGGCAUGGUGGAGGGCGCCUGUAGUCCCAGCAACUCCGGAGGCUGAGGCAGGAGAAUGGCGUGAACUCGGGAGGCGGAGCUUGCAGUGAGCUGAGAUUGUGCCACUGCACUCCAGCCUGGGUGACAGAGCAAGACUCCGUCUCAAAAAAAAAAAAAAAAAAAAAAAAAAAAAAAAUCCCCUGGCUUCAGAGCAGGGUGCCUGUUUCUCUCGAGGCAUGCCCUUACCAGUGAAAAUGGGGCCGUACGGUGGCGUGGGCGGCCAAUAAGGACUCAGGCGGACA